GUUGACUGUGGAAUUAAAAUCAAUGCCGCUUAGUCCAAAUGACUAUCAUAAUUUUUCUGUCAAAUCUUUAAACUAACUUUUUACUCACUUUUUGGCAUUUUAUCGACAAAGUAUUUUCAAGUGAAGGGUUUGUCUUGAUUUGUGUUUUAUAUUUCCGUGACUGUGUUGUGUAUUCUUUCGUUUUUGAAUUCGAAGCAUUUUUGCAUUACCGGGUGCUCAAAAAUCGGCGCACCAACUCAACGGAGUGUGGUAGAGAAUUGCUUACACAUAAAGGUAAAAAUAGUAAAAAAAAUUUUUGUAUUAAACUUAUAGAUAAAUAACGAAUUUUAAAUAAAUGAUAUGUGGCAACGUUGUGUAACAGUCGUGAUCGCAAUAGAACUUGAUCAACUAUAAAAAUUAGUAAUUUUUGUAUUAAGUGCGCGAAAUGAGUGUUUUUUUAAUGGCGCCUGAGAAUGUUAUUUUAGUCGAGACCGCCAGGUCGAGACCUAAAAGACAUUCGAAGGCGCCAUUAAAACAUGAAUUUCGCCACGAAAUACAAACAACGUUUUUUCUACAGCCUCCAGAUGAAGAAAAAAGUAACAGAAAUUAGUUGGAACAAAAUGGUCUGAUAAAUCGAGUUGCUUGCAUGGUUACGAUGAUAAAUAAAAGUGAUAGUUGCGAAAAAUUUGUCACAAUAGGUAUUUUUGUUGAAGAAGUGUGAUGGAUUUUAGCAGCGAAAACGAAAUAGAUGCAAUUGCAAGCGCGGCAGUGUCGAAUCUUUUGCCUGCUAAAUCAAGACCGCAGUACGAAAAAACGUAUCUUCAGUUUCGGCAGUGGUGUUCUAUGAAAAAGAUUGAUCAAGUAACGGAAAAUGUUUUGUUGGCGUAUUUGGAAGAAAAGUCUACCACCUUAAAGCCACCAACACUCUGGGCCCUUUAUGCGAUGUUGAAAGCCACCUUAAACGUUAAAGAGAAUAUCGAUACACAAGCAAGAAGUCGCAAAUUUUAGACAAAGAAGACAUUAGCAAGUUUAUUAAUGAAGCAGAUGACAAGAUAUAUUUACUGAUGAAGGUAAACUUAUCAUAUUAGUGUAAUACAAAUCAAAACAACUCGUUUUAUUUAUAGACUGUGCUAAUUUUGGGUAUAUCGGGAGCCCUUCGACGUGAAGAAUUAGUUAAAAUGAAGCUAACUGACAUAGAAGAUAAACAGUCUGUCUUAAUUGUGAAGGUGCCUGAUACAAAAACCCACUGCGAACGAAUAUUUACUGUUUCAAAUUUAGAAAAUAUAGAAAUUGUCAGAAAAUAUAGAGCUUUGCGGCCUCCACGGGCGACUAGUGACCGUUUAUUUUUAAAGUAUACCAACGGAAAAUGUGUGAAUCAAAAUGUUGGAAUUAACAAAAUCGGAGAGAUACCAAGUUUGAUUGCAAAGUGGCUUAACAAAGACGAACCUAAAAAAUAUACUGGUCACUGCUUCAGAAGAAGCUCUGCCACUCUUUUGGCGAAUGCUGGAGGUGAUCUAAUUUCAAUUAAACGUCAUGGGGGCUGGAGAAGCAGCACAGUGGCAGAAAGUUACAUCGAGGACUCUUUGAAUAAUAAAAUUGAAAUUGCCAAUAAAAUUCAACCUUCUUCCUCCACAGAAGAAAACAAAAUCACUCAACCUUCUACAUCGGCUUCUUUUAAUGGCGAAAAUAACUUUCAUUUACAAGCGUCUUCACUCAGGCCUCUGGGGAUAAACGGGGGCACGUUUUCGUCAUGCACAUUUAAUUUUCAUAUGUCAAAGUAAAUAUCUAUUAUUAUUGUUUUGUAAUAUUGUUCUGUAUAAUUAUAAAACCUUUAAAACUA
RNA transcript from Tribolium castaneum (red flour beetle), 1819 nucleotides. RefSeq lists it as uncharacterized. Lineage: Eukaryota; Metazoa; Arthropoda; Insecta; Coleoptera; Tenebrionidae. The transcript has 2 exons. The record is from RefSeq and is a predicted model, not a curated record.